GAGAGGCUGACUCCCACCGUUCACAUCGGGAGCUUGAGAGGGAGGCAGAAGCUGUCACAGCGCACAGAGUCUGCAACUUGUUCACAUGUAACCGCCAGCGGAGGGAAAAAUAAUAAUAAUAAUUACACGGACUUACAAAUGCCAUUAAUCCCGUGACCGGUGACCGGAAUGGAAACGUACGUGCCGGCAAUGAGAAGUUGUUUGAUCCGGGUGGUCGUGUGAGCGCUGCCGGCUCCGAGAAGAAACUCAUGGGAGGUGCCAGUGGAUGAGGUGGGCUGGUCUCCUCAACCCAUCAUGGACGUCAACUGUCAGCCCCAGCUCAAAACCUCCUGUCUGGCUGGUUCCUGCUCCAUAACGCCUCCCUGUGUCUGAGCUGUGACACCUGGGACUCGCAGGCUGCUGACACCAUGACACAAAUGGACUACAAAUACAGCCUGCUGGGCUCAGCAGUGGACGACUACCGCAAGAGGCCUUUGCUCCUGCAGGUGGACGACACGCCCAUGAACCUGUUUGCAGUCCUGGAGGUGAAACGGGAACUACCGAGGCGCUGGAGCACCUUGGGCUGUUUCCGUAAGAUCCGUCUCUACAGCUUCUUGUUCGGCCUGGCCGUCAUGUUCCUCAUCAUGGCUUCGUACAUUCUGACAGGAGACAAGAAGGGCCUCCUCCUCACCCCUUCCCCUUACCACUUCAGCAGCCUGGUCAGCCCAGGACCUUUUUCCUUCAACCUCUCCUCAGUCAAGGACUAUGCACAUAUCAAACUGGUGGUCAAGUCCAUCACAUCCAAGGUGGAGUUUCGCAGCAGUCGACAGAUCCCAGAGCUUAAGGCGCUGGUUAACAGUGAGCCACAUAUGUUUUCUGUUAUCCCCCGCAAAUUCCUGCCUGGUGUCAAGAACCCCUGCUGGUAUGAGGAAUACACUGGGAAUAUCACUUCGGACCCGUACAGGACAAACUUGUAUGCGCGCUAUUCGCGCCGUUUCCGGACCGUGUUUCAGCACCUGAGGAACACUUUCCGAGAGCACUUGUUUCACCACGAUGGGAAACUCCACCGCAUGCGGUGCCUUCCAUAUUUCUAUAUCAUUGGCCAACCAAAGUGUGGAACAACAGACCUGUAUGACAGACUGAGGCUGCACCCAGAUGUCAAGUUCACCACUUUCAAAGAGCCACACUGGUGGACCCGCAAGAGGUUUGGUAUCAUUCGUCUCAGUGAGGGCUUCCAUGAUCGAUACCCAGUGGAAGACUACCUGGACUUGUUCGAUCAGGCUACUUACCAAAUCCAGGGCAACCUCACAGCAAAUGCCAGUAGAAGCCCCAGCCAUCCUAACAUCAUCAUAGGAGAAGCCAGCGCGUCCACCAUGUGGGAUAACAACGCCUGGGUGUAUUUCUACGACAACACCACAGAGGGAGAGCCUCCCUUCCUUAUCCAGGACUUUGUUCACGCCCUGCAGCCUAAUGCCCGCUUCAUCAUUAUGCUCAGGGACCCAGUGGAAAGGCUAUACUCUGACUACCUUUACUUUGGUAUUGCCAAUAAGUCUGCAGAGGAUUUCCACGAGAAGGUGUCAGAGUCACUGCAGUUAUUUGAGGGGUGCCUUACAGAGUACACAAUGCGCUCCUGUGUGUACAACACUACUGUCAACAAUGCCAUGCCAGUCAGAUUGCAAGUUGGCCUGUACAUUGUGUACUUAAAAGACUGGCUGACCGUCUUCAGCAGGGAACAGAUUCUGGUCCUGAGGUUGGAAGACCAUGCCUCUAAUAGAAAAUACACAAUGCACAAAGUCUUUGAGUUCCUUACCCUGGGGCCACUAACAAAGGAAAUAGAGUCAGAGAUCACAAGAAGCCCAGCAUCAAACACCAGGAGGCCAGCUGACAAGAACCUCGGACCCAUGCUGCCCAUUACUAAAGAGAUCCUGCGGGAUUUUUACAUGCCAUUCAACAAGAAAUUGGCCAAAGUGCUGCAGAAUGACUCCUUCCUCUGGGAGAAUAACUCUAAACUCUGAGCAAACCAUCUCUCCCUUUUAAUUUAGUAAAAAAGAAAAAAAGAUAAAAAAAAAAACACCACUGAUGUAUCAGCCAGCCCCUCAUUUGAAAAAAUCAAUGUUUUUUAUUUAAAUUAUUUUUUAAGUUAUAAAACCAGAGAUGAAUCAAAGAUUGAAAAUAGCACAAGAGUGUGGGGAUUUUGAGUGUGUGUGUGUGUGUGUGUGUGUGAGUGUGAGAGAGAGAGAGAGAGAGAGAGAGAGAGAGAGAGAGAGAGAGAAAGAAAAAGAGAGGCACAAGAGAGAAUGAGAUGUUGGCAGGCCUUGAUUGUUUUUCUUUUUUUUGUGACCAGGUGUACAGAAUUAGUCAAUUAAAAAAUAUAAGAAAAAAGAGUUAUGUGUUGUAUUUUGAAGCUUGUUUUGAUCAAUUAAAAGAUAGUCCGCCUCACAGAGAACUGAAAAGAUGGGACCUUGUUCUUUUUAUCCAACAAACCAUAUAUGCAAGACUUACAUUGUGCCUUGAUCGUAAUUCAGACACACUGAAAGUUUCUUAUAGUGAGAAUGAGCUGAAUGGCAAAGUCUGUGUUCAGAGCUCAAAUGGUCAGUGAAACACCACCACCCUCUACUGGGAAAUACAUGUAGUUACAACUGUAAAAUUGCCUCAGUUGCUGCUGAUGUCAAUAGUAACAUAUCAAAUGCCAAAAUUA
Toxotes jaculatrix (banded archerfish) is the source of this 2677-nucleotide RNA transcript. It is a transcript of the gene named carbohydrate sulfotransferase 15-like, with no coding region annotated. The record is from RefSeq and is a predicted model, not a curated record. The transcript has 9 exons. Lineage: Eukaryota; Metazoa; Chordata; Actinopteri; Toxotidae.